Long non-coding RNA from Oncorhynchus tshawytscha (Chinook salmon), 510 nucleotides. The record is from Ensembl. NCBI's taxonomy places the organism in Eukaryota, Metazoa, Chordata, Actinopteri, Salmoniformes, Salmonidae.
AAAUCAGGCCCUGAUUAGAGGAGAAUCACCCACCUGGUGUCCCAGGUCUAAAUCAGGCCCUGAUUAGAGGAGAAUCACCCACCUGGUGUCCCAGGUCUAAAUCAGGCCCUGAUUAGAGGGGAAUCACCCACCUGGUGUCCCAGGUCUAAAUCAGGCCCUGAUUAGAGGGGAAUCACCCACCUGGUGUCCCAGGUCUAAAUCAGGUCCUGAUUAGAGGGGAAUCACCCACCUGGUGUCCCAGGUGUAAAUCAGGCCCUGAUUAGAGGGGAAUCACCCACCUGGUGUCCCAGGUGUAAAUCAGGCCCUGAUUAGAGGGGAAUCACCCACCUGGUGUCCCAGGUCUAAAUCAGGCCCUGAUUAGAGGAGAACAAUGGGAAAAAAGCAGUUGAACUGGCUUCGAGGUCCAGAUUUGAAUUUGAGCAAUAUAGCCUAUUCAUACAUAAUAAAUCGUUAUUACCAUGUUAUACGUUGUUUAUGCUGGAUGAUGUCAAUAAAGAACUUGAGAACCCA